GACAGAUGGGUGAGCGGCUGAAACCACACCCCUGCUAAGGGUGCAAGUCUUAAUCGGGCUUCGAGGGUUCAAAUCCCUCUCUGUCCGC
This 88-nucleotide transfer RNA is filed under the name Campylobacter iguaniorum. RNAcentral's name for it is "tRNA-Ser". It matches the Rfam family "tRNA". Rfam says of the family: Transfer RNA (tRNA) molecules are approximately 80 nucleotides in length. Their secondary structure includes four short double-helical elements and three loops (D, anti-codon, and T loops). Lineage: Bacteria; Pseudomonadati; Campylobacterota; Epsilonproteobacteria; Campylobacterales; Campylobacteraceae. The record is from RNAcentral.